UACAGAGGUCCCAAGCGUUGUUCGGAUUCAUUGGGCGUAAAGGGUGCGUAGGCGGCGCGGUAAGUCGGGUGUGAAAUCUCGGGGCUUAACUCCGAAACUGCAUUCGAUACUGCCGUGCUUGAGGACUGGAGAGGAGACUGGAAUUUACGGUGUAGCGGUGAAAUGCGCAGAUAUCAGGAGGAACACCGAUGGCGAAGGCAGGUCUCUGGGCAUUAACUGACGCUGAGGAGCGAAAGCAUGGGGAGCGAACAGG
RNAcentral lists this ribosomal RNA (253 nucleotides) under uncultured bacterium. RNAcentral describes it as "partial 16S ribosomal RNA". It matches the Rfam family "Bacterial small subunit ribosomal RNA", at positions 524 to 776 of the family's 1533-position model. The record is from RNAcentral.